This 1837-nucleotide long non-coding RNA is filed under the name Sus scrofa (pig). RNAcentral's name for it is "lncRNA (ENSSSCG00040047935.1)". The record is from RNAcentral. Lineage: Eukaryota; Metazoa; Chordata; Mammalia; Artiodactyla; Suidae.
GAUGUUCUUUUUUACAUCUUCAUGUUUAUCCAUUUGCUGUUCCUUGUGUUUAUUACUGCUUUACACAAUAGUUUUUUUUUUGUUUGUUUGUUUGUUUUCCUUUGUGAUCUGUAUACUGGCUUAUUUAAGUGAUUACUUUCCAAUUCUGAUUUCCUCCUUCCUAUAUCUUCUUGCUUCUUUUCUAUCUAGAGGCAACCAUUAAAUAUUUCCUUUCAGGAUAGGUUUAGUAUUGCCAUAUUCUUUUAGUUUUUGCUUGAGAAAUUCUUUAUUUCUCUCCCUAUUCUAAAUGAUAAUCUUGCUGGGUAGAGUAUUCCAGGUUGCAGAUUUUUCCCUUUCAAAACUCUGAAUGUAUCUUGUUACUCCCUUCUGGCCUGCAGCCUUUCUGUAGAGAAAUCAGCUGAUAGCCUUAUGGGGUUUCCCUUGUAAAUUAACUUUUUGAUUUCCUCUUGCUGCCUUUAGAUGCCUCUCUUUAUCAUUAACUUUUGCCAUUUUUAUUAUAAUGUGGUCUUGUUGUAGAUCUGUUUUGGUUCAUCUUCUUUGGGACCCUCCGUGCUUCCUGUAUCUAGAUAUCUGUUUCCUUUUUUAGAUUUGGAAAGUUUUCAGCCAUAAUUUCUUCAAAUAUAUUUUCAAUUCCCUUUUCUCUUUCUUCUCCUUCUAGGAUUCCUAUUAUGCAUAUAUUUUAACACUUGCCUUUAGCUCAGCUUUCAUCUCGGCAAACACAUUUUCUAAUUUUUCUUGCUCCUCCUUAUAGUUUCUUGUACCUUUUUGCAGUUGAAAGCCUUUUUUAAUUCCUUCAGUAUUUUCAUUACCACCUUUUUGAACUCAGUAUCUGUUAAACUGAAUAAGUCUGUUUCAUUGUGUGCUUCUUCAGGAAUUCUCUUAUUUUUUAAACUGGGAAUGGUUCCUCUGCUUCUUCAUUUAUAUUUCUCUUACUCUGUGCGUUUAAGGGAAACAAGUAUCUACUGCAGUCUUGGAGGGCUAUUUAUAUGCAGGAGCAUCCCUGGGUAGCUUGUGUUGGUUUAGCCUUUUUUUUUCCUUGGCAUGAGGGCUGCUUGUGGUUUGGAGGCUUGCUGUCUCUUUCCUUCAAAUACACAGGCUAUUAUCCCUGCACACCUAUAUACUCACUAUCAAGGGAUAAUGGCCUGGCAGCAGGGAGCACCCAGUCGCAGGGCCCUUGGCAGCAGUGGUUGUGGUGGCAGCAGGCUGUGGGUGCUCCUGCAUGGGGGUGUGUGUGUGAGAAGGGCCUGGUUGCAGGACCCUUGGAAGCAGCUGGCUGCACACACCUCUGGAGUCCGAGAUGGUAGUGUGGCUUGUGCCUGUCCCUGUCCCUGUGGCCCAUGUCUCUUCUCACACUCACUAACCUGUACUUCACUAUACUCUAGCCCUUUCAGGUUGUUUCCACGCGGCCAACCUUAGUCCUCAAACCAGGUCACAACUCCUAAGCCUCAGCACUCAAACCUGCCCACUCCAGCAAAAGUGCUUCUCAGACUUGGGUGCACUGAGUGUCAGCACUGACCAUCUGCGUGGCUCUCCCUCCACUUUGCCCUCCUCAGGCUGGCUGCUGCAGUUUUCUCUGAGGCUUUGAAUUUCCCCUUCUGCCCUGGGUGAUCACCCCACCAGUCAGGGGGCCUCCCAGUGUGUGGAAACCUUUCCUCUUCCACAGCUCCCUCCCAGGAGUGCUGGUCUCAACAUGCUUCCUUUUUCUCUCUUUUUCCUUUGUUCUACCCAGUCAUGUGGAGAUUUUUUUUUUUUUUUUUUUUUUNNNNNNNNNNNNNUUUUUUUUUUUUUUUUUUUUUUUUUAUGUAUUUGUGGGAAAAGGUGAGCUCCAUGUCCUAUU